Molecule: ribosomal RNA, 499 nt
Filed under: uncultured bacterium
Lineage: Bacteria
Description: partial 16S ribosomal RNA
Rfam family: Bacterial small subunit ribosomal RNA
Source: RNAcentral
AUUGAACGCUGGCGGCAGGCUUAACACAUGCAAGUCGAGCGGGGGAAGGUAGCUUGCUACCGAACCUGGCGGCGGACGGGUGAGUAAUGCUUAGGAAUCUGCCUAUUAGUGGGGGACAACAUCUCGAAAGGGAUGCUAAUACCGCAUACGUCCUACGGGAGAAAGCAGGGGAUCUUCGGACCUUGCGCUAAUAGAUGAGCCUAAGUCGGAUUAGCUAGUUGGUGGGGUAAAGGCCUACCAAGGCGACGAUCUGUAGCGGGUCUGAGAGGAUGAUCCGCCACACUGGGACUGAGACACGGCCCAGACUCCUACGGGAGGCAGCAGUGGGGAAUAUUGGACAAUGGGGGGAACCCUGAUCCAGCCAUGCCGCGUGUGAAGAAGGCCUUAUGGUUGUAAAGCACUUUAAGCGAGGAGGAGGCUACUUUAGUUAAUACCUAGAGAUAGUGGACGUUACUCGCAGAAUAAGCACCGGCUAACUCUGUGCCAGCCGCCGCAGUAA